RNAcentral lists this ribosomal RNA (368 nucleotides) under uncultured organism. RNAcentral describes it as "bacterial SSU rRNA". It matches the Rfam family "Bacterial small subunit ribosomal RNA", at positions 526 to 896 of the family's 1533-position model. The record is from RNAcentral.
CGAAGGAUCCAAGCGUUAUCCGGAUUCAUUGGGUUUAAAGGGUGCGUAGGCGGGUUUAUAAGUCAGUGGUGAAAGCCGAUCGCUUAACGAUCGAACUGCCAUUGAUACUGUAGACCUAGAGUACAGAUGAUGUUGGCGGAAUAUGACAUGUAGCGGUGAAAUGCAUAGAUAUGUCAUAGAACACCGAUUGCGAAGGCAGCUGACAAAACUGUAACUGACGCUGAUGCACGAAAGUGCGGGGAUCAAACAGGAUUAGAUACCCUGGUAGUCCGCACAGUAAACGAUGAUAACUAGUUGUUUGCGAUAUACAGUAAGCGACCAAGCGAAAGCGAUAAGUUAUCCACCUGGGGAGUACGCUCGCAAGAGUG